UGGGGAAUAUUGGACAAUGGGCGCAAGCCUGAUCCAGCCAUGCCGCGUGAGUGAUGAAGGCCUUAGGGUUGUAAAGCUCUUUCGGCGGGGAAGAUAAUGACGGUACCGCAAGAAUAAGCCCCGGCUAACUUCGUGCCAGCAGCCGCGGUAAUACGAAGGGGGCUAGCGUUGCUCGGAAUCACUGGGCGUAAAGGGUGCGUAGGCGGGUUUCUAAGUCAGAGGUGAAAGCCUGGAGCUCAACUCCAGAACUGCCUUUGAUACUGGAAGUCUUGAGUUCGGGAGAGGUGAGUGGAACUGCGAGUGUAGAGGUGAAAUUCGUAGAUAUUCGCAAGAACACCAGUGGCGAAGGCGGCUCACUGGCCCGAUACUGACGCUGAGGCACGAAAGCGUGGGGAGCAAACA
RNAcentral lists this ribosomal RNA (402 nucleotides) under uncultured bacterium. RNAcentral's name for it is "bacterial SSU rRNA". It matches the Rfam family "Bacterial small subunit ribosomal RNA", at positions 355 to 774 of the family's 1533-position model. The record is from RNAcentral.